Molecule: ribosomal RNA, 1737 nt
Filed under: Salmonella enterica
Lineage: Bacteria; Pseudomonadati; Pseudomonadota; Gammaproteobacteria; Enterobacterales; Enterobacteriaceae
Description: bacterial LSU rRNA
Rfam family: Bacterial large subunit ribosomal RNA
Source: RNAcentral
GUUGGGUAGGGGAGCGUUCUGUAAGCCUGUGAAGGUGUGUCGUGAGGCAUGCUGGAGGUAUCAGAAGUGCGAAUGCUGACAUAAGUAACGAUAAAGCGGGUGAAAAGCCCGCUCGCCGGAAGACCAAGGGUUCCUGUCCAACGUUAAUCGGGGCAGGGUGAGUCGACCCCUAAGGCGAGGCCGAAAGGCGUAGUCGAUGGGAAACGGGUUAAUAUUCCCGUACUUGGUGUUACUGCGAAGGGGGGACGGAGAAGGCUAUGUUGGCCGGGCGACGGUUGUCCCGGUUUAAGCGUGUAGGUGUGUGUUCCAGGUAAAUCCGGUUCACUUUAACACUGAGGCGUGACGACGAGGCACUACGGUGCUGAAGCAACAAAUGCCCUGCUUCCAGGAAAAGCCUCUAAGCAUCAGGUAACAUCAAAUCGUACCCCAAACCGACACAGGUGGUCAGGUAGAGAAUACCAAGGCGCUUGAGAGAACUCGGGUGAAGGAACUAGGCAAAAUGGUGCCGUAACUUCGGGAGAAGGCACGCUGACACGUAGGUGAAGUGAUUUACUCAUGGAGCUGAAGUCAGUCGAAGAUACCAGCUGGCUGCAACUGUUUAUUAAAAACACAGCACUGUGCAAACACGAAAGUGGACGUAUACGGUGUGACGCCUGCCCGGUGCCGGAAGGUUAAUUGAUGGGGUCAGCGCAAGCGAAGCUCCUGAUCGAAGCCCCGGUAAACGGCGGCCGUAACUAUAACGGUCCUAAGGUAGCGAAAUUCCUUGUCGGGUAAGUUCCGACCUGCACGAAUGGCGUAAUGAUGGCCAGGCUGUCUCCACCCGAGACUCAGUGAAAUUGAACUCGCUGUGAAGAUGCAGUGUACCCGCGGCAAGACGGAAAGACCCCGUGAACCUUUACUAUAGCUUGACACUGAACAUUGAGCCUUGAUGUGUAGGAUAGGUGGGAGGCUUUGAAGUGUGGACGCCAGUCUGCAUGGAGCCGACCUUGAAAUACCACCCUUUAAUGUUUGAUGUUCUAACGUGGACCCGUUACCCGGGUUGCGGACAGUGUCUGGUGGGUAGUUUGACUGGGGCGGUCUCCUCCUAAAGAGUAACGGAGGAGCACGAAGGUUGGCUAAUCCUGGUCGGACAUCAGGAGGUUAGUGCAAUGGCAUAAGCCAGCUUGACUGCGAGCGUGACGGCGCGAGCAGGUGCGAAAGCAGGUCAUAGUGAUCCGGUGGUUCUGAAUGGAAGGGCCAUCGCUCAACGGAUAAAAGGUACUCCGGGGAUAACAGGCUGAUACCGCCCAAGAGUUCAUAUCGACGGCGGUGUUUGGCACCUCGAUGUCGGCUCAUCACAUCCUGGGGCUGAAGUAGGUCCCAAGGGUAUGGCUGUUCGCCAUUUAAAGUGGUACGCGAGCUGGGUUUAGAACGUCGUGAGACAGUUCGGUCCCUAUCUGCCGUGGGCGCUGGAGAACUGAGGGGGGCUGCUCCUAGUACGAGAGGACCGGAGUGGACGCAUCACUGGUGUUCGGGUUGUCAUGCCAAUGGCACUGCCCGGUAGCUAAAUGCGGAAGAGAUAAGUGCUGAAAGCAUCUAAGCACGAAACUUGCCCCGAGAUGAGUUCUCCCUGAGACUUUAAGUCUCCUGAAGGAACGUUGAAGACGACGACGUUGAUAGGCCGGGUGUGUAAGCGCAGCGAUGCGUUGAGCUAACCGGUACUAAUGAACCGUGAGGCUUAACCUUACAACGCCGAAG